Long non-coding RNA from Adelges cooleyi (spruce gall adelgid), 519 nucleotides. RefSeq lists it as uncharacterized. Lineage: Eukaryota; Metazoa; Arthropoda; Insecta; Hemiptera; Adelgidae. The record is from RefSeq and is a predicted model, not a curated record. The transcript is spliced from 6 exons.
GCAUCAAACGUACGGUUGCUCUAGUAAAGUAUUCUAGAUUCUUGGUGUUUAAUUUUAAUAACUUCUUCAAUAAAAUGAAUUUUAAAAGUAUAAUUUAUAUUGUAGCCACCAUAUUAUUAAUAAUGAUGUCGGGUGUAUCAGCUCCAGCUCCAAUAGCUCCUGACACGAAGGACCAUGUUCCCCCUCUUGUUGAUGUUGGAAACACUUUACCCACUAUUCCAAAUCCAGUUGCGCCCCUUGUCCCUGAAACUCUUGACACGAAGGACCAUGUUCCCCCUAAAUAACGGUAGUUCAAUUUACCAACAAAGCUGCAGUAUCCAAGAUCAGUUUCACAUUUUGAAAAUACAUAUGCUUAUUAAUACAUGUAUUUUGUAAAAUCAUCAUCUUUAUUUAUCAUAAUUAUUAUGUUUCAACCUUUAGAUUUUUCAAAUAACAAUGUAUUCUAAAAACAUAUUCUGUUUUCUAUCAUAUAAAUUAUAUCAUGUCUUAUACCAUAUAUUAAUAAAAACAAUAUUCGUC